Molecule: ribosomal RNA, 469 nt
Filed under: uncultured bacterium
Lineage: Bacteria
Description: bacterial SSU rRNA
Rfam family: Bacterial small subunit ribosomal RNA
Source: RNAcentral
ACUCCUACGGGAGGCAGCAGUAGGGAAUAUUGGUCAAUGGGCGAAAGCCUGAACCAGCCAUGCCGCGUGUCAGAUGAAGGUCCUCUGGAUUGUAAAUGACUUUUCUACGGGAAGAAUGAGCCGUCUGCGGACGGAAGUUGACGGUACCGUAGGAAUAAGCACCGGCUAACUACGUGCCAGCAGCCGCGGUAAUACGUAGGGUGCAAGCGUUGUCCGGAUUUACUGGGUUUAAAGGGUACGUAGGCGGUUGUGCCAAGUCUGGGGUGAAAGUUUGCAGCUCAACUGUAAAUUGCCUUGGAUACUGGUCGGCUAGAGUAGUGGAGCGGUGGCUGGAAUUUAUAGUGUAGCGGUGAAAUGCUUAGAUACUAUGAGGAACACCAAUUGCGAAGGCAGGUCACUGGUCACUAACUGACGCUGAGGUACGAAAGUGUGGGGAUCAAACAGGAUUAGAUACCCUGGUAGGAUAGCG